This is a non-coding RNA of Equus caballus (horse), 1817 nucleotides long. The record is from RefSeq and is a predicted model, not a curated record. NCBI's taxonomy places the organism in Eukaryota, Metazoa, Chordata, Mammalia, Perissodactyla, Equidae.
ACAGAGCAAACAGGAGCUGGGAGAUGAGCUCUGACGAGGACCAGCCUUGGGGCUAGGACAGUCCCCUUCUCUGGGGGCAAAUGGCGUUGAGGUCUCCCCUGAAGUAGAGGAGGGAGCAGCAGAGUGUCCUGGGCAAGGCCCAGCCAGCUCAGAGGAGGGGUCCCCUGUACCCUCCCCGCUCCCACUCCAGCCCCUGAGGGAACAUUCGCCCUUCAGCAUCUAAAGCCUUUUCACACCCAGUCUCUCCCUAGGCUCUCACAGCAACUGGUGAAGUGAGAUUCUCCCAUCCUCUGGAUGGGGAGAGCCCCGAGAGGGGCCUGGACCACCUGAAGUCGGAGGCGCAGCCCGGUGCGUGAGCUAGAGCCCAGUCUUCAGGCCUUUCCUGCUGAGGUCCCCAACUUCAGGACCCAGCCUUGAGAGGCAAGACGGCAGGAGAAAAGGCCUUCUGGGAGUCGGGCGGUCGGAUGGCCUUCGGGCCCUCCUAACCCAGGUGCUCGUCCCUUCACAGGAAGCAGCACGAAGCAGGGGAAGAACAUGGGUUUUGGAGCCACGUGAUCCUGCAACUGAAUUCUGGCUCUGCCACUUAACUAACUGUGUGACUUUAGGCAAGCUUCUUAACUGCUCUGAGCCUCAGUUUUCUCAUCUGAAAAAUAAGACCAGUGCCAUCCUUCUCCUAGGGUCGUUGGGAUGCUAUACAUAAACACAAGGCAUUUCCAUGAACCUAGUAGCACAGUGUACUGGACCACUGCCAGAGGCUCAGGCCCGGCAGAAAUAAUUGCUCUCCAGGUUGAUGUAUAAGUGGUCACUCUUGAUAUUUGUAAACUGUUGGCUCUGCAGCACACAGGCUUUAAGACUCAGAGCCUCGGAGGGGAAUGGACUCUCUCACUGAAAAGACGGGGAGGCAGGCGAGAGAGAAGUGACUGGCUCAGGGUCACAGACGGAGCCACGGCAGAGCUGGAGCUCAAACGUGGGUGUGCGACACCUAGUCCAGGCCCCUCGCCCCUGCAGCCCUGCUAAAUCAGAUGAUUAUCUGAAGCAGGGAGGACACUGGAGACCACCUGGGCGGACUCCCUCAGCACUCAGAGGAACUGAGGCCACAGCGGUUUGCUGACCAGGUGGUGAGGACACUGGGAAGGCAGGAAGUCUCUCCCACCAAUGCACAGACGAAGAGCUGAGCCCAAGGGUGAGGAAGCCAUGCUGAAAGCCACCCACAAACCUGUAGCGGGGCCACGCCUAGAACCCCCUGAGGAGGAGGAUGAACUUUCCAGAUCAGGCCCUGCUUGGCUUCAGUCUCUGUCCCCUGAGAACACGGCAAAGUCGGCGCUGCCUGUCCCUAGACCCAACUCUGACCACAGGCCGGGGGGGUUUAAGUGCUUCAGAUUAAAUUCCAUUUGCUUCCAACAGUCUGGCCCUGUCUCUGUGCCCCAGGACUGAUAACUGAUCAUUUACUCACUCCCUCACUCAUUCAUUCAUUCAUUCAUUCAACAAUCAUCACACACAUCCUCUGAGUGCCAGGCCCUGGGCCAGGAGCAAUGGAGGACACAGAGAUGAAUUGGGGAUGUUCCCUCUUCCAAGGAGUGCAAAGUCUACUGGGGGAACCAGAAACAGGCAAAUGUCAGUGUGAAGUGACCCGUACUAUAACAGGCAGCUCAGGAGGGUGUGGAAGCCAAGGGACGGGCAGGAUGUUCAGAAGUCCCUUCCUCCUGUGCCCGCCCAUUCACUCUCACUUUGCUCUGACCAGAGGGAGCAGCUCCCCCCAGUGCACACCACUGUGCUUCGCAGGCCCAGCCCACUGCUCUGCUAAAGGGAAGUAGAGG